GCCAGGUGUGGUGGCGCGCACCUGUAAUCCCAGAUUACUCGGGAGGCUGAGGCAGGAGAAUCGCUUGAACCCGGGAGGCAGAGGUUGCAGUGAGCUGAGAUGGUGCCACUGCACUCCAGCCUGGGUGACAGAGUGAGACUCCGUCUCAA
This 149-nucleotide non-coding RNA is filed under the name Gorilla gorilla gorilla (western lowland gorilla). Lineage: Eukaryota; Metazoa; Chordata; Mammalia; Primates; Hominidae. RNAcentral also lists the same sequence under 1 other name. The record is from Rfam by way of RNAcentral.